Molecule: ribosomal RNA, 483 nt
Filed under: uncultured bacterium
Lineage: Bacteria
Description: partial 16S ribosomal RNA
Rfam family: Bacterial small subunit ribosomal RNA
Source: RNAcentral
ACUCAAAUGAAUUGACGGGGGCCCGCACAAGCAGCGGAGCGUGUGGUUUAAUUCGAGGCUACACGAAGAACCUUACCUGGGUUUGACAUCACCCUAGUAGGUGGCGGAAACGUCACCGACCGCAAGGAGGGGUGACAGGUGCUGCAUGGCUGUCGUCAGCUCGUGCCGUGAGGUGUUAGGUUAAGUCCUGUAACGAGCGCAACCCCCGGCUCCAGUUAGAUAGUCUGGAGCAACUGCCCGUGACAAGCGGGAGGAAGGUGGGGAUGACGUCAAGUCAGCAUGGCCUUUAUAUCCAGGGCUACACACACGCUACAAUGGUCGGUACAAUCGGUUGCCAAGCCGCAAGGCGGAGCUAAUCCAUCAAAGCCGACCCCAGUUCAGAUUGUGGGCUGCAACCCGCCCACAUGAAGUCGGAGUUGCUAGUAACCGCGCGUCAGCCAUAGUGCGGUGAAUACGUUCCCGGGCCUUGUACACACCGCCCGU